GAUGAACGCUGGCGGCGUGCCUAAUACAUGCAAGUCGAGCGAACAGACGAGGAGCUUGCUCCUCUGACGUUAGCGGCGGACGGGUGAGUAACACGUGGAUAACCUACCUAUAAGACUGGGAUAACUUCGGGAAACCGGAGCUAAUACCGGAUAAUAUAUUGAACCGCAUGGUUCAAUAGUGAAAGACGGUUUUGCUGUCACUUAUAGAUGGAUCCGCGCCGCAUUAGCUAGUUGGUAAGGUAACGGCUUACCAAGGCAACGAUGCGUAGCCGACCUGAGAGGGUGAUCGGCCACACUGGAACUGAGACACGGUCCAGACUCCUACGGGAGGCAGCCGUAGGGAAUCUUCCGCAAUGGGCGAAAGCUUGACGGAGCAACGCCGCGUGAGUGAUGAAGGUCUUCGGAUCGUAAAACUCUGUUAUUAGGGAAGAACAAAUGUGUAAGUAACUAUGCACGUCUUGACGGUACCUAAUCAGAAAGCCACGGCUAACUACGUG
This 497-nucleotide ribosomal RNA is filed under the name uncultured bacterium. RNAcentral describes it as "partial 16S ribosomal RNA". It matches the Rfam family "Bacterial small subunit ribosomal RNA", at positions 28 to 507 of the family's 1533-position model. The record is from RNAcentral.